AGGACGAACGCUGGCGGCGUGCUUAACACAUGCAAGUCGAGCGGAAAGGCCCUUCGGGGUACUCGAGCGGCGAACGGGUGAGUAACACGUGAGCAACCUGCCCUUAGCUCUGGGAUAGCUCCGGGAAACCGGAAUUAAUACCGGAUACGACCUAGGCCGACAUCGGCCAUGGUGGAAAGUUUUUUCGGCUAGGGAUGGACUCGCGGCCUAUCAGCUAGUUGGUGGGUAAAGCCUACCAAGGCGACGACGGGUAG
Molecule: ribosomal RNA, 254 nt
Filed under: uncultured bacterium
Lineage: Bacteria
Description: partial small subunit ribosomal RNA
Rfam family: Bacterial small subunit ribosomal RNA
Source: RNAcentral